AUGAAGGAACCAAGAAUCGGUGACUGUGCCGUGGUGAUGAUGAUGAUGAUGACGAGGAGGAGGAUGGCGAUGAUGAUUAGAGACGGAAAACACGAUCCGGACGGUCCUGUGAGCCUGCAGGAGCCUCGACGUCUCCCCCGCUGCUCUCACAGCCGUCCGGAGCUGAAAUGUGGGAAUGAGGGAGAGCGGAGCACUUGUUCGCCCUCCCGUCGACUUCACAUGGACCGAUGUUCUUCAGACUCUGCAGCCGGAGGGAAUCCUGAUCACAUCACCUGCAUCAUGGCUCAGAAAAACACAUCUGGAGCGAAUCCCAUCCCCAGACUGGUUGUCAAGAUCGUAGGCAGCAAACAGGUCAAGCAGUUUAUCGAGGAGCCCCGAGAAGAAUCUGGAGACGUGUCAAAGAAAGAAGAGAGUCAUCCAGUUGAAGCUGCAUAUGAUGGUGAUUUCAAGAAACCUCCAGAAAAACAGGAUGUGAUGGUGUCCAGCUCUGACAGGAAGGUGGAGAACAGAGUGGACUCUGCACUUUGGGCUGUCAUACAGCAGGUUCCUGACAGACGGUGUGUGACAGCGCCCUCUGGUGAUCGCUCCAGGUCCUACAUCCACCCAAAGACUCGUCACAGCUGUGAACUGAGAGCAGCUGCAGUUCUGGAGAUAUCAGAGGAGGUUCUUCUGUGA
RNAcentral lists this long non-coding RNA (675 nucleotides) under Sparus aurata (gilthead seabream). RNAcentral's name for it is "lncRNA (ENSSAUG00010007857.1)". Lineage: Eukaryota; Metazoa; Chordata; Actinopteri; Spariformes; Sparidae. The record is from RNAcentral.